Caenorhabditis elegans is the source of this 135-nucleotide non-coding RNA. The record is from Ensembl. NCBI's taxonomy places the organism in Eukaryota, Metazoa, Nematoda, Chromadorea, Rhabditida, Rhabditidae.
CAUCUACUUUAUCAUUCCCGAUGAAUAUUAAAUAAGUGCACAUGGUAAUAGUUAGUAUACACACCCAUCAGUAUAGCUAUCUCAUCCAUCCAAUUGUUUUGCUCCGAGACACGAGAACAGAAUCUCUUUAUCAUC